Molecule: ribosomal RNA, 245 nt
Filed under: uncultured Defluviitalea sp.
Lineage: Bacteria; Bacillati; Bacillota; Clostridia; Lachnospirales; Defluviitaleaceae
Description: partial 16S ribosomal RNA
Rfam family: Bacterial small subunit ribosomal RNA
Source: RNAcentral
UACGUAGGGGGCAAGCGUUAUCCGGAAUCACUGGGUGUAAAGGGUGCGUAGGCGGUAGGGCAAGUCAGAUGUGAAAGCCCGUGGCUCAACCACGGGACUGCAUUUGAAACUGCUUUACUAGAGUGCAGGAGAGGAAAGCGGAAUUCCUAGUGUAGCGGUGAAAUGCGUAGAUAUUAGGAAGAACACCAGUGGCGAAGGCGGCUUUCUGGACUGUAACUGACGCUGAGGCACGAAAGCGUGGGGAG